Sus scrofa (pig) is the source of this 3535-nucleotide RNA transcript. RefSeq lists it as uncharacterized. Lineage: Eukaryota; Metazoa; Chordata; Mammalia; Artiodactyla; Suidae. The record is from RefSeq and is a predicted model, not a curated record.
UGCUGUGGCUCGGGUUCAUUCCCUGGCCUGGGAACUUCUGUAUGCAGUGGGUGUGGCCAAUAAAUAAACAGGCAUUCUUUUUUAAAAAUAAUUAAAAAAAGAAUGCAUAUUCAGCUCUAUCCAAACACCAGGGCAGUUUCAAACCUACCCAUGCAUGCACCCUCAUUUACAAACCACUCACACCUCUUAGCAGGGCUCAGGCUAAAGGCUAAUGCACAGACUAAUACAAAAGGGGCUAUGAGGAGCCGAGGGCCUGUGGGUUAAGAAAUGAACCAGGGUGAACUAUGGCUUCAUCUCCUGAGCUUGUGUUGGAAGCCAGACCCUGUGCUACUUUUCCUACAUGAUCCCACGUAAUUCUCGCAUCUCCAUGAAGGCUGAAGGGAGGUUAGGAGGCAGAUGGAUAGAGGAUGAAGGGGGAAGCCCUGGAACCUUGCAGGAGACUCCAUAACCAUAAUGGCCAUGACUUAUGGGGCCAUUACUGAGAUCUUAGCAGUGUGCCAAGAACACCCCCACCACUUGUGUAUUCUCUUAAUCUUCACCAUAACCCGCAUCAUAGAACCAAGUAGCCCCCAUUUCUAGUAUCAGGACCAUAAGAGUACCUUGCUCAGAGUCACAUAGUAACAGGGCAGGACUCAAUCCCUGGGAAUCUAAUCACAGACCCUAUGCUUACCCCCCUAGAACACCUCCUUCCACCCACCAAAGCUGCCAGGGGUAACACAGAGACCAGUGGUGGGAUGGAUGAGGAAGGGCUCCUCAGAGCCAGAUUUGUCUAACUAGCAGGCACAAGAGUGGAGUUUAUGUCUAAAGACUCUAAAAGACAGGCCCAUAUGGAAUUUGACCAUGCACUUCGUUUCUGUACUGCAGUAAGCUGCAUAUGAUAAGAGUUUUAGCGAGUUUCACAGUCUGUGCUAAUAUUACAUUUACCCAGCACCCACCCUGGGUGUGCAGCACUGUUCUAAAUGACUAGCAUGGAUUAAGUCGCUGAACCCUUACAGCGAUCCUGGGCAAUGGGUGCUGUGGCGAUGCCCAUUUUACAGAUGAGGAAAAGACUUGCCUGAGGUUGCAGAGGUAGCAGUGGUCCAGCUGAGGUUUGAACCUGGUGAAUCCAGCUACAGGGCCACAGAUAAGAAGAGCAGUACACUGUGAGGCCUAGAGCCGCUUCUUUUCCUGGGGGCAGGUGGAUACCUGCAGGAUUUGAUGUACCUCUUCUCAAACUUCAUGUGAAUGAUUCCUUUGGUACCAGAGAUAACGGGGUGAUACAGAUGCCCUCCAUUCAGUCAUCUUCAAACCCAGGGGGAAAAAAAAGUCUUUAGUGGAUGUUUGUUUUAACCCUUCCCACUUAGCAUGCUCAGCUGAUGGCUGGGUGAGGCUGCCGGAAAGAGUUUGGAGGCCCGCUGAGAGCCUUGACAUCCUUGUCUGAAAGGCAUUGGCAUUGGCAGCUGUCCAGACACCCAUGGUUGACUUUCAAACCAUUUAAUUAAAACCAUAUUUAAAAAAAAAAGAAAAGAAAAGAAAGGGGGUGGGUGCCAGAGCAGGAGAAAGAUCUUAGCAGAAAACAAAAAAGAAAAAAUCUUCUAUGCACUGUUUUUUUCCACCAUUGGAUUGACCAGACAGGGCCACAAAGCUGAUACAACAGGAUUAGCAAAAUUGCAUUGUUGGACAUAGGCACAGCGUGACAUGUGCUACAGCAAAGGCAUUUGGCAGGAUUAACCUGCCAGGGAUAAAGAUGUAGCAGACAAGGGGCUGAAUUAAUGGACUGGCAUGACCAAAGCGGGGAAAUCUAUUUGCAUGCGAUAUUAACUGUGCUAAUAAACUCUGGGCCGGGCUUGGCAGGCCUGGCAGUCUUUUCUGAACCAGGAGUUUUUAUGUUAAAGCCCACCUGGAAGACACCAGUCCAGAUGGGCUAAGGCAAGCAGGCUUUACAGGUUGCCUUUAGGCUUGUCUGCCAUCGUUCUAGAAUAGACAGGCUAUCUUAAAUACCUGUAGCAGCAUGUGUGCCUACUGACUGUGCAGAAUGAUUCUAAUACCUCGGAGUUUUGGUGCCAAAGGAUCCUCUAUUUACAGGGUGAUUGUCUAUGAAAAACAAUGAAGAAAGCUAAGCACAACACACUCUGGAAAAUAUCUACCCGGAAGGGGUGGUUCUGCCUGAUUUGUGUUUUCUGAUUCCCUGAAAGUCAGAGUGAGACCAGGGUGAGCAAGCAGUACCACCCAGGAUAACAUUUCAGAGGUCCUCAUGGGACCAGCAUCUGACAGUGAGUGCUCACUCCCUUCCCCAGUCCUGCUGAAAGUGAUCAUGGGAACAUUGUACGAUCUAUCCAUUCAAAAUUGGGGUGCACUUAAAUACACGAACACAGUCACGAAUGCACAGGUGAGUGUUGGGAGAUGGGGCUGGGAAGUGCUGUGAGAGGCUGGGCAGAUGAGAGGGGAGGGAACCAAUAACGAUGGGGCGAUAGGUGGUGGGGACCUCUGCCAACCCUUGGGGGACAAGAGAGCAGGUAUUUGUCUACCAACUCCUGUGCAUCACUCAUGAGGGAUGUGAACUUCCUUUCGUCCAACAGGCUGACCACACUCCUGCUCCUGUUCCUGACCCAAGGAAGCCCCCAUGCAGAGCACCCUGUCCUCUCUGAAUGGGACCAGCAGCUGGAUGCUGAGUACCAAUAGCAUCUGCCCUGAUUUCCUUUGAGGAUGGAGAGCAGAGCCAAGCUGCAGGGCCUGCUGUUCCAGCUGCUGUGCAGCCCUGGGCUGCCAGGGCACUCCGUGAUGGCCUUUGUCCUUAGCAUCACCAUCUCCUAAGACACAUAGAAGAGUGGGACAGUAACAGAAGGACACAAAAGAUACCGAAUCCGAGGAAGGCCCUGAAGGUCCAGUAACUUGCCUAGGGACACAGGUGAAUCUUAGGAAGAGCCCUGGAGGGCAGCUGCCAGCCGAAGGGCAGGGCGGGGCGCUGUUUUCGCCAUGACCACCUGAUCUCUUCUCGGCUCUUCUUGGUGUGCACGACUGCUCGACUCGUCCGCGUUAACUCUCAUGAUGUGUUUGGGAUGCGCUCCCCCUCUUUGUAGGACUGAGUCAGGGAGAUGUUCUCCCUCCUCGGAGGAUUCCAUUCUGAGCCCAGUCACCUUAGUAGAUGCGGGAGCUACUCCACGUGGCCUUUGAGGUCUGGGACCCUGGGCAAAUUGAGGGAGGGGGUCUUGGCAGAGUAAUCACUCAGAACUCAAGGUAAGAACCGUCCAUCUCUGGUUUUUGUGUUUGGCAGUAGAGGCAUGGGAACCCCUGCAUUCCUCGCAUGUGAGUAUCAGGACUUGAGGAAAAAUCUGUACUCAGAACUUGGUUGCCAGUGGGGAGGGGGGAGGGGGAGGUAGAGGUAGGGGAUUAAGAGGUACAAACUGUUGGGUAUAAAAUGAGCUACAAGAGGCGUUCCCUUCGUGGCUCAGCAGUUAACGAACAUGACUAGGAUCCAUGAGGAUGCGGGUUCGAUCCCUGGCCUCGCUCAGUGGGUUAAGGAUCUGGCUUAGGUGUAGAUCACAGAUGCAGCUCC